Molecule: non-coding RNA, 432 nt
Organism: Pelodiscus sinensis (Chinese soft-shelled turtle)
Lineage: Eukaryota; Metazoa; Chordata; Testudines; Trionychidae
Source: RefSeq, a predicted model, not a curated record
CUUUAAUAUCCCUGCAGGACGGAUAAGACUUGAAUUUUUAGAGGUGCUGUUGAAAUGGGGCAGAGCGGGCUGAAGAGGAUCUAUCCAUCUAUCUCGGAAGGACUAAAAUUAGAAUGUGAGACCUUGGAAGACUAGAAACUUCAGAGGUGAUGUGCCAGAAGCUAUGGACACAUGGAAUAUUCAUAAACAAUCGUAUCAACAAGUGGUAUACCCAGACUUUUGGUGUUUCACCGCUCGUGGGCAGUAGCACUGACUGGCAUUACCACGAUCAGGAGGCCUGAGACACAGAGGUCUCAGACUGUAAAAGAAUCUGGCUCAGCUGACUCACUCUGGAAUCAAGAAUCGAAAUACAGAGAUAGACCAGGAACCCAGGCAUCUAUGUAGACUGUUUAUGAUACUUUCGCUGUAUUGUUUUUGCCCUAAAUACAUCAA